GACGAACGCUGGCGGCGUGCUUAACACAUGCGAGUCGAACGAAGAGCGAUGGAAGCUUGCUUCUAUCAUUCUUAGUGGCGAACGGGUGAGUAACGCGUAAUCAACCUGCCCUUCAGAGGGGGACAACAGUUGGAAACGACUGCUAAUACCGCAUACGAUCUAAUCUCGGCAUCGAGGAUAGAUGAAAGGUGGCCUCUACAUGUAAGCUAUCACUGAAGGAGGGGAUUGCGUCUGAUUAGCUAGUUGGAGGGGUAACGGCCCACCAAGGCGAUGCUCAGUAGCCGGUCUGAGAGGAUGAACGGCCACAUUGGGACUGAGACACGGCCCAGACUCCUACGGGAGGCAGCAGUGGGGAAUCUUCCGCAAGGGACGAAAGUCUGACGGAGCAACGCCGCGUGAGUGAUGACGGCCUUCGGGUUGUAAAGCUCUGUUAAUCGGGACGAAAGGCCUUCUUGCGAAUAGGGAGAAGGAUUGACGGUACCGGAAGAGAAAGCCACGGCUAACUACGUG
Molecule: ribosomal RNA, 510 nt
Filed under: uncultured bacterium
Lineage: Bacteria
Description: partial 16S ribosomal RNA
Rfam family: Bacterial small subunit ribosomal RNA
Source: RNAcentral